UUGGCUCAGAAGCAGCCACCAUUUAAAGAGUGCGUAAUAGCUCACUGGUCGAGAGGCCCCGCGCCGAAGAUUCCCGGGGCUAAAGUACGGAACCGAAGCUAUGGAUGCGGUGUAAGCCGCGUGGUAGAGGAGCGUUCUCAUCGGGCAGAAGCAGUGCUGUAAGGCGUUGUGGACGGAUGAGAAGUGAGAAUGUUGGCAUGAGUAGCGAAAAGGACGGUGCGAAUCCGUCCCACCGAAAGCAUAAGGAUUCCUGAGCAACGAUCGUCGUCUCAGGGUAAGUCGGGACCUAAUCCGAGGCAAGAGGCGUAGGAGAUGGACAUCCGGUUGAGAAUCCGGAACCGGCAGAGGUUGUUUGAGCAAUGGAGUGACACAGGCAGGCAGGCGCGCGCGGGAUUGGAAGUCCGUGUGCAAGCGUGUGGCGCGGGGGACAGGCAAAUCCGUCCCCCAGGAGCGUGAGGCGUGACGCGGAGCUUUCCGUGAGGAAAGCGAAGGGGCUGAGCCUAUACUGUCGAGAAAAGCUUCUAGUGAGACCGAUGCCGCCCGUACCGUAAACCGACACAGGUAUGUGGGGAGAGGAUCCUAAGGUGCGCGGGAGAACCCUCGUUAAGGAACUCGGCAAAAUGUACCCGUAACUUCGGGAUAAGGGUAGCCGCGUGUUGUGAAGUAUGUCCAUAUGGAGCAGAGCGCGGCCGCAGAGAAGAGGCCCAAGCGACUGUUUACCAAAAACUUAGGUGCCUGCCAAAGCGAAAGCUGACGUAUAGGUGCUGACACCUGCCCAGUGCCGGAAGGUUAAGGAAGGAGGUUCGGAGCGAUCCAACGCCUUCGACCGAAGCCCCGGUGAACGGCGGCCGUAACUAUAACGGUCCUAAGGUAGCGAAAUUCCUUGUCGGGUAAGUUCCGACCCGCACGAAAGGUGUAACGAUUUGGGCGCUGUCUCAACGAGGGACCCGGUGAAAUUGAAAUACCUGUGAAGAUGCAGGUUACCCGCGACUGGACAGAAAGACCCCAUGGAGCUUUACUGUAACUUGACAUUGGGUUCUGAUAUGGCACGCACAGGAUAGGUGGGAGGCACGGAAGUGAGCGCUUUGGUGUUCACGGAGCCGCCGUUGGGAUACCACCCUUGCGGUAUCGGAAUUCUAACCGUACACGUAACGAGUGUCGGGACCGUGUCAGGCGGGCAGUUUGACUGGGGCGGUCGCCUCCGAAAGCGUAACGGAGGCGCCCAAAGGUUCCCUCAGCGCGGCCGGAAAUCGCGCGUAGAGCGUAAAGGCAGAAGGGAGCUUGACUGCGAGUCUUACAAGACGAGCAGGUACGAAAGUAGGGCUUAGUGAUCCGGUGGCAUCCAAGUGGAAGGGCCAUCGCUCAACGGAUAAAAGCUACCCUGGGGAUAACAGGCUAAUCUCUCCCAAGAGUCCAUAUCGACGGGGAGGUUUGGCACCUCGAUGUCGGCUCAUCACAUCCUGGGGCUGAAGUCGGUCCCAAGGGUUGGGCUGUUCGCCCAUUAAAGUGGUACGUGAGCUGGGUUCAGAACGUCGUGAGACAGUUCGGUCCCUAUCCAUCGCGGGCGUAAGAGAUUUGCAGGGAUCUGCUCCUAGUACGAGAGGACCGGAGUGGACGGAUCAAUGGUGUACCAAUUAUGCCGCCAGGCGUAUCGUUGGGUAGCUACAUCCGGAGAGGAUAAACGCUGAAAGCAUCUAAGCGUGAAACCGACCCUAAGAUGAGAUCUCUCAUAACAUAAGUUAGUAAGACUCCUUGUAGAAGACGAGGUUGAUAGGCCGGGAGUGUAAGUAUAGUAAUGUAUUGAGCGGACCGGUACUAAUCAGUCGAGGGCUUGAUUUC
This 1839-nucleotide ribosomal RNA is filed under the name human gut metagenome. RNAcentral's name for it is "bacterial LSU rRNA". It matches the Rfam family "Bacterial large subunit ribosomal RNA", at positions 1101 to 2925 of the family's 2925-position model. The record is from RNAcentral.